CAGAUCAAUAGUUCUUUCUUUCAUACUUUUUGAUAUAAAACAUCCAACCUGUUAGAGAGAAGUGGACUUGACCCAUCAUUCUGAACUUCUCAAUUACAAAUAGGAGUAACACAGCAGAUUACGGCACCGGAAGAAAGAUGAACUACAUUAUUGAGACCAGAGUAAAAAACGGCCGUUUUAUUUGUAAUUAUUAAGAAGUACCUCUUUUUGAAGUACCUCUUAUUCUUAGAUUGAUGUGCAUGCAGAAAAGAAAUAAGGGACUAAUACAUACCUGAUAUCCAUUUGGAAACACAUAUGUAUGUAUGUAAAUCAACCAUAAAUGAAUGAUAACACCAGACGGUUACAAACGUUAUUAAUUCCUUAUCAUGUACUUAAAUGUUUACGCGUAUAUUUAU
This is a long non-coding RNA of Episyrphus balteatus (marmalade hoverfly), 395 nucleotides long. RefSeq lists it as uncharacterized. The record is from RefSeq and is a predicted model, not a curated record. Lineage: Eukaryota; Metazoa; Arthropoda; Insecta; Diptera; Syrphidae. The transcript has 3 exons.